Small nucleolar RNA from Ochotona princeps (American pika), 127 nucleotides. Lineage: Eukaryota; Metazoa; Chordata; Mammalia; Lagomorpha; Ochotonidae. The record is from Ensembl.
UUAGAACUUUCACAGGUCACCCCCAGGCAGUGGGGCUAGGAUUUGGUAGCUGGUGCUGAGAGAAAACUGUUGAUUGCAUCUUUGCCCUGGAAUGUACUAGACACAGUUAACACUCAAUGGUACAAAG